RNAcentral lists this ribosomal RNA (482 nucleotides) under uncultured bacterium. Its description in RNAcentral is "partial 16S ribosomal RNA". It matches the Rfam family "Bacterial small subunit ribosomal RNA", at positions 29 to 523 of the family's 1533-position model. The record is from RNAcentral.
AAUGAACGUUGGCGGCGUGGAUUAGGCAUGCAAGUCGCGCGAUAAAUGUAGCAAUACAUGGAAAGCGGCGAAAGGGACAGUAACGUGUGGGAACCUACCUCGGGGUCUGGGAUAGCGGCGGGAAACUGCCGGUAAUACCAGAUGACAUCCCCGGAUCAAAGGUGUGAUUCCGCCCUGAGAUGGGCCCACAUGCUAUUAGUUAGUUGGCGGGGUAAUGGCCCACCAAGACUAAGAUGGCUAGCGGGUGUGAGAGCACGACCCGCGUCACUGGGACUGAGACACUGCCCAGACACCUACGGGUGGCUGCAGUCGAGAAUCUUCGGCAAUGGGCGCAAGCCUGACCGAGCGACGCCGCGUGCGGGAUGAAGGCCCUCGGGUUGUAAACCGCUGUCGAGGGGGAUGAAAUUCCGGUGGGUACUCCCAUCGGAUUGACAGAUCCCUGGAGGAAGGGUGGGCUAGGUUCGUGCCAGCCGCCGCGGUAA